RNAcentral lists this ribosomal RNA (207 nucleotides) under uncultured bacterium. Its description in RNAcentral is "partial 16S ribosomal RNA". It matches the Rfam family "Bacterial small subunit ribosomal RNA", at positions 568 to 774 of the family's 1533-position model. The record is from RNAcentral.
UGCGUAGGCGGAUUGGCAAGUCAGAAGUGAAAUCCAUGGGCUUAACCCAUGAACUGCUUUUGAAACUGUUAGUCUUGAGUGAAGUAGAGGUAGGCGGAAUUCCCGGUGUAGCGGUGAAAUGCGUAGAGAUGGGGAGGAACACCAGUGGCGAAGGCGGCCUGCUGGGCUUUAACUGACGCUGAGGCACGAAAGCGUGGGUAGCAAACA